RNAcentral lists this ribosomal RNA (468 nucleotides) under uncultured bacterium. RNAcentral's name for it is "partial 16S ribosomal RNA". It matches the Rfam family "Bacterial small subunit ribosomal RNA", at positions 28 to 507 of the family's 1533-position model. The record is from RNAcentral.
GACGAACGCUGGCGGCGUGCUUAACACAUGCAAGUCGAACGGAAAGGCCCUGCUUUUGUGGGGUGCUCGAGUGGCGAACGGGUGAGUAACACGUGAGUAACCUGCCCUUGACUUUGGGAUAACUUCAGGAAACUGGGGCUAAUACCGGAUAGGAGCCCCUGCUGCAUGGUGGGGGUUGGAAAGUUUCGGCGGUUGGGGAUGGACUCGCGGCUUAUGAGCUUGUUGGGGGGGGAGUGGCUUACCAAGGCUUUGACGGGUAGCCGGCCUGAGAGGGGGACCGGCCACAAUGGGACUGAGAUACGGCCCAGACUCCUACGGGAGACAGCAGUGGGGAAUAUUGCACAAUGGGCGGAAGCCUGAUGCAGCAACGCCGCGUGCGGGAUGACGGCCUUCGGGUUGUAAACCGCUUUCGCCUGUGACGAAGCGUGAGUGACGGUAAUGGGUAAAGAAGCACCGGCUAACUACGUG